This 495-nucleotide ribosomal RNA is filed under the name uncultured bacterium. RNAcentral's name for it is "partial 16S ribosomal RNA". It matches the Rfam family "Bacterial small subunit ribosomal RNA", at positions 30 to 507 of the family's 1533-position model. The record is from RNAcentral.
UGAACGCUGGCGGCGUGCCUAAUACAUGCACGUCGAGCGAACAGAUGAGGAGCUUGCUCCUCUGACGUUAGCGGCGGACGGGUGAGUAACACGUGGAUAACCUACCUAUAAGACUGGGAUAACUUCGGGAAACCGGAGCUAAUACCGGAUAAUAUAUUGAACCGCAUGGUUCAAUAGUGAAAGACGGUUUUGCUGUCACUUAUAGAUGGAUCCGCGCCGCAUUAGCUAGUUGGUAAGGUAACGGCUUACCAAGGCAACGAUGCGUAGCCGACCUGAGAGGGUGAUCGGCCACACUGGAACUGAGACACGGUCCAGACUCCUACGGGAGGCAGCAGUAGGGAAUCUUCCGCAAUGGGCGAAAGCCUGACGGAGCAACGCCGCGUGAGUGAUGAAGGUCUUCGGAUCGUAAAACUCUGUUAUUAGGGAAGAACAAAUGUGUAAGUAACUAUGCACGUCUUGACGGUACCUAAUCAGAAAGCCACGGCUAACUACGUG